AGGUAACGGCGAGUGAAGCGGCAACAGCUCAAAUUUGAAAUCUGGCUCCUUCGGGGCCCGAAUUGUAAUUUGUAGAGAGUGCUUCGGGCGAGACCUCGGUCUAAGUCCAUUGGAACAUGGUGUCAUAGAGGGUGAGAAUCCCGUAUGCGACCGUGGCUCGAGCCCAUGUGAAGCCUCUUCGACGAGUCGAGUUGUUUGGGAAUGCAGCUCAAAAUGGGUGGUAAAUUUCAUCUAAAGCUAAAUACUGGCUGGAGACCGAUAGCGCACAAGUAGAGUGAUCGAAAGAUGAAAAGCACUUUGGAAAGAGAGUCAAACAGUACGUGAAAUUGUUGAAAGGGAAGCGCUUGCAACCAGACCUGCCCGUAGGCGAUCAGCCGCUGUUCUCAGCGGUGUACUCGCUCUGCGAUCAGGCCAGCAUCGGUUUCGGCGGUUGGAUAAAGGCCUUGGGAAUGUAGCUUCCCUUCGGGGGAGUCUUAUAGCCCUCGGUGCAAUGCGGCCAGCCGGGACCGAGGACCGCGCUCCGGCUAGGAUGCUGGCGUAAUGGUUGUAAGCGACCCGUCUUGAAACACGGACCAAGGAGUCUAACAUCUAUGCGAGUGUUUGGGUGUCAAACCCAUACGCGGAAUGAAAGUGAACGGAGGUGAGAACCCUCAAGGGCGCAUCAUCGACCGAUCCAGAUGUCUUCGGAUGGAUUUGAGUAUGAGCAUAGCUGUUGGGACCCGAAAGAUGGUGAACUAUGCCUGAAUAGGGUGAAGCCAGAGGAAACUCUGGUGGAGGCUCGCAGCGGUUCUGACGUGCAAAUCGAUCGUCAAAUUUGGGUAUAGGGGCGAAAGACU
RNAcentral lists this ribosomal RNA (836 nucleotides) under Xanthoparmelia lineola. RNAcentral's name for it is "partial large subunit ribosomal RNA". It matches the Rfam family "Eukaryotic large subunit ribosomal RNA", at positions 81 to 932 of the family's 3401-position model. The record is from RNAcentral. Lineage: Eukaryota; Fungi; Ascomycota; Lecanoromycetes; Lecanorales; Parmeliaceae.